RNAcentral lists this ribosomal RNA (253 nucleotides) under uncultured bacterium. RNAcentral describes it as "partial 16S ribosomal RNA". It matches the Rfam family "Bacterial small subunit ribosomal RNA", at positions 524 to 776 of the family's 1533-position model. The record is from RNAcentral.
UACGUAGGGUGCAAGCGUUAAUCGGAAUUACUGGGCGUAAAGCGUGCGCAGGCGGGUUUGUAAGUCUGUCGUGAAAUCCCCGGGCUCAACCUGGGAAUUGCGAUGGAGACUGCAAGGCUAGAAUCUGGCAGAGGGGGGUAGAAUUCCACGUGUAGCAGUGAAAUGCGUAGAGAUGUGGAGGAACACCGAUGGCGAAGGCAGCCCCCUGGGUCAAGAUUGACGCUCAUGCACGAAAGCGUGGGGAGCGAACAGG